This 257-nucleotide ribosomal RNA is filed under the name Mantidactylus catalai. RNAcentral's name for it is "partial 16S ribosomal RNA". Lineage: Eukaryota; Metazoa; Chordata; Amphibia; Anura; Mantellidae. The record is from RNAcentral.
CCCCAUGGAGCUUUAAACCCAAUUAUAUCUCUAACCACUAUAACCAUUUAACCACUUAGAACUUAUAUACUUGGUUUUAGGUUGGGGCGACCACGGAGCACAACCAAACCUCCACGAUGAACGGAACAACCCCCUUAUCUGAGAAUUACACUUCUAAGAAUUAGCACACUAACAUAAAAUGACCCAUUAUUGAUCAACGAACCAAGUUACCCUGGGGAUAACAGCGCAAUCCAUUUUAAGAGCCCCUAUCGACAAAU